RNAcentral lists this long non-coding RNA (5303 nucleotides) under Salvia miltiorrhiza (redroot sage). RNAcentral describes it as "long non-coding RNA (SMIL_LNC004817)". The record is from RNAcentral. Lineage: Eukaryota; Viridiplantae; Streptophyta; Magnoliopsida; Lamiales; Lamiaceae.
AAUGUAGUUGAUGUGAAGCCACUGCUCGCAGUCGUUGCAGCUGUAGUUCCAGCACCUUUUAUCGAUAUCCUCUUCACAAACCUCACAAAUUUGUUGGGUAUCAUCAUCAUCAUCAUCGGUGGUUAACUUAGUUGAGGUGGUUAGGUUGAGAGGGUGUGCAUCAAAUUUGUGGCUAAUGGUAGUGGGAAGCAAAGCGCAGCGAGCAUGUAGUUUUAGAUGACGACAAUUGCUGCACUUAUAGAACAUUCUAUUUGCAAAGUCGUUGCAGCAGCUACACGUGCCUGAGUAACGCGACAUGUAAAGAAUGUGCGUCUUCCCGUGAGAGGCGUGGGUGAUUGAGGCAGGCAUUAGUGCGCACAAAACAUCCAUGCUGACGUCUUUGCAAGUUUUGCAGCAGUAGGCGAAUCCAGAGCACAGCAUCCAGCAACCAUGGCAGAAGAAGCCUUCAUCAUAAUUUUUUCUGGGUGCUUUUGUGAAGAGGGAAAGGGUGUGGUCUGGAUGAAAGGGGUGCUUGAUUUUGGGUGGAAGAUUGAAACAAGAGUCGUGGAGAAGAAAAUCCGGACAUUGGGAACAGCUGUAGAAUGGAGGGGAAAUGAACUGAACACACGCAUUGCAUACACGGGAUGAAGAAUGCCCUGUGCCAUCAUCGUCGUCUUCAUCAUCAGCUUCACCACUAUCCUCUUCAUCAUGAAAGAUCGACGGAUGUUUAUGUAAUCUUUGAUCAUAUCCGUAUUUGGGAUUACCAACCUCCUCCUCCUCAUAGUCAUAAUCACCAUAUUCUUCUUUAUGAUGACGAAAGAUUACUGGAAGUUGAUGUCCAUCUACGGAAUCAGCAUCCUCAUAUUCUCCAGCAGCAUCAGUAUUCUCCAACAUAUAGCGCACGAUGCUUGUGCGUUCAUCUGGCAUCGGAAGAUGGAGCAGGUUGGCCAGCUUUGCAUCUCGAAUUAACACUGCAAAUUAAAACAUCAGUUUGAUUAAUAUAAUGAAUUAAUCACACACAUAUACAUAGGUUAUUUUUCCAACCUGACUCAAAACAGCGAGGAUCCGAUGUUGCACACCUAAUAUGAGCAAAAUAGCUACACUUGAAACAGAAAUAAGCACCCACGCUAUACAACAAGAUCCUUUCUCCACAGAAUGCACAUUUGCAAUCUCGAUCAUGAAAAGCAUGCAUAAUAUUAUAGGUGAGAAAAAGAGAAUGCUGAUGCUGCGGCCGUUGCACUAGUCGGAUAGCAUUAGGUGAGGAAGCGCAAUCUUUAUGAAUCCAGAAACCACAAGGAGUGCACAGAUACGACGGAGACAAUAGGCCUUCAUGUUGCGUUCCACACGCGCUGCAUCUGAAGGCAGCCGGGCCCCUUAUAACCGCUGUCAACCUGUGCUCGUGGCUCCUGUGCAAGAUUUUGAUCUGCAAACUGCACAACACGUCGAGUUGAACAUCACAAGAAAAAUCAAGACAUUGAUAGAACAUACUCCCGCAUUUUUCACUACAUCCAUCGCAAAAUUCUGUUGAUGGUGAAUCCCAGUUUUCCUUGAGCACGAGGGGCCCGCCGGGGUGAAACGCAUUAUCCAUCAAAAUCUUGGGGAGAUUAGCGCAUUGAUCGUGCAGGAGUGCUUGACCGUGUUUGGUGUUGAUUCUGUUGAAGGGCGUGGAGAAGAUUGGGAGCGUACAAGCACUGCACAUCCAAGAAUUUCCAUCGUCUGGAUCAACGCCGUUUUCUUCACUCCUUAUUUUAGUGUGAGACGACAACACGAAUUUAAAACUUCGUAUCAUUUUGUCUCUUCUACACAAAGAGAGAGAGAAAUAACCAAUACUUCAAUUUGUUGUUUAUGAUUUCUAUAACUUUGAUACGGUGAUACUACCAAAACCACAACGCAAGAUAAGAAUAAUAAAGUAAUUCACUUCUUAGUUUGUCAUUUUCGUACAUCUACAAAGGCAAUACCAAAACCCCAACACAAUAUAAGAAUAAAAUAGCAUAAUUCCCCAAGCACUAAUAAUGAGGAAUAUACAAGGGUACUACCAAAACCCCAGCGCAAGAUAAGAAUAUAUAAAGUAGCAUAUAUAAUUCCCCAAGCACUUAUAAUAAUGAGGAAUACAAAGGUACUACCAAAACCCCAGCGCAAGAUAAGAAUAAAGUAGCAUAUAUAAUUCCCCAAACACGAAUAAUUUUUAACUUCCUUACUUAUAUCUAUACUUAUAAGAGCAUUGUUUUACAAAAUUUGAUUUGCCUAUUAUAUCCCUCCUAUAUUCUUAAUUUAAGGUUAAUAUAUAUAAUAAAUCUAAAAGUAUAUUAUAGUUUAUGUUUAUAUUUUAAUAAUUAUUUAAGUAGUACGUAGUAUCCAUUAAAACUCUCCAUCCACAUAAAUUAAUAUUUUUUAUUCUAUAAAUUUAAUAAUUUAGAAUUACAAUAUAAAUGAUUAUUUAAUAAUUUUAUUAUAAGUUUAAUUUUAUUAUUAUUUAAUUUUGGGGUGUUUUAAUUUAACGAUGAAAAAUUAGGUUAUGCUUAGUUAAUUAAAAUUAUUUUUUAAUAUUGAAUUUAGAUAGUUUUUUUUCAUUUUUAUGAGUUUUACAAUAUUAUAAUUUUUGAAAAUUAAAAUUGAUUUUAAUAAUAUAUUUAAAUGAUUAAUGUUACUAUAAAUGAAAUAUAAAUUUAUAUUCAAAAAAAAUUACUAUUUAGUAAAAUAAUUUCAAAUAAUUUCUUUUUACGCUGCGAUUUGCGAAUGCACGUUUCUCUCUAGUUUUAUUUAAAUAAAAUAUUUUACUUAUCAUUUUCUGAACUACACGCAAUAUAUAUACAUCAACCAUUGAUUUUUCUAAAAAAAUUCAUUUCGUAUCGAUUUUAAAACAUGCAUGUACAAAAUUAUAUAAUUAUUUUUUUCUCAUAUUUUAAACAGAAUUUGGAUAUGUAAGAAGUAAACAGAACCUGCUUCAUAUUGAUUCACAUAUAUAAAAGAAAACAUAAUUUGAACGUUUCAUAUAUAAAAGACAAGUGUAUACACAUUAUUCUGAUACAUCAUUGUCUGUAAAGAGGCUGCAUAAACACCUGAAUACAAUAAACUUGCAACUAAAAUGUGGAUAUGAAGAAACUCUAUUUCAUUGAAACAGCUAAAGUUUAUCACGGAAUCUCAGACAUGGCGCAGGUCUCAUGUAUCUUAUAACAACACUUGGAGCAUUCAUACGCACGUGUUCAUACAUUUCUUCAUCAUACCUGAUGAAUUGACUUCAAUCAGUCGCAGUACCUGCAAGUGUACUCUCUCGACACCAGUGAGGGGGCAGUCAUGGCAUUUGAAACCAACACUACCCCAAACUUGACCCUAGAAAACGACGAUCCAGAAAGGGAAUGCAGUUGAUGUGAAGCCACUGCUCGCAGUCGUUGCAGCUGUAGUUCCAGCACCUUUUAUCGAUAUCCUCUUCACAAACCUCACAAAUUUGUUGGGUAUCAUCAUCAUCAUCAUCAUCGGUGGUUAGUUUGAGAGGGUGUGCAUCAAAUUGUGGUAAUGGUAGUGGGAAGCAAAGCGCAGCGAGCAUGUAGUUUUAGAUGCGACAAUUGCUGCACUCAUAGACACUCCCUGAAUGAGGUUGCAGCAGCUACACGUGCCUGAAGAUUGUAACGCGACAUGUAAAGAAUGUGCGUCUUCCCGUGAGAGGCGUGGGUGAUUGAGGUAGGCAUUAGUGCGCACAAAACAUCCAUGCUGAAGUCUGUGCAAGUCAUGCAGCAGUAGGCAAAUCCAGAGCACACACUCCAGCAACCAUCGCAGAUGAAGCCUACAUCACGAUGUUUGAUGGGUGCUUUUGUGAAGAGNACGAAUAAUUUUUAACUUCCUUACUUAUAUCUAUACUUAUAAGAGCAUUGUUUUACAAAAUUUGAUUUGCCUAUUAUAUCCCUCCUAUAUUCUUAAUUUAAGGUUAAUAUAUAUAAUAAAUCUAAAAGUAUAUUAUAGUUUAUGUUUAUAUUUUAAUAAUUAUUUAAGUAGUACGUAGUAUCCAUUAAAACUCUCCAUCCACAUAAAUUAAUAUUUUUUAUUCUAUAAAUUUAAUAAUUUAGAAUUACAAUAUAAAGGAUGUAUUUAAUAAUUUUACUAGAAGUUUAAUUUUUCUAGAAUCCUUGGAAUUAAAAAUAAUUAUGUAAAGAUGAAACGUAGAAAAUAAACAUGAAUUUUAUAUCAAUCUUCUUCUCUUUUUGGUCGUGUUUUAAUUUAACGAUGAAAAAAUUAGGUUAUGCUUAGUUAAUUAAAAUUAUUUUUUAAUAUUGAAUUUAGAUUAUGUUUUAAUAAGUUUUUUUCAUUUUUAUGAGUUUUACAAUAUUAUAAUUUUUGAAAAUUAAAAUUGAUUUUAAUAAUAUAUUUAAAUGAUUAAUGUUACUAUAAAUGAAAUAUAAAUUUAUAGUAUUCAAAAAUAAAUUAUUUAGUAAAAUAAUUUCAAAUAAUUUCUUUUUACGCUGCGAUUCUGCGAAUGCACGUUGUCUCUCUAGUUUUAUUUAAAUAAAAUAUUUUACUUAUCAUUUUCUGAACUACACGCAAUAUAUAUACAUCAACCAUUGAUUUUUCUAAAAAAAUUCAUUUCGUCAUCGAUUUUAAAACAUGCAUGUACAAAAUUAUAUACAUUAUUUUUUUCUCAUAUUUUAAACAGAAUUUGGAUAUGUAAGAAGUAAACAGAACCUGCUUCAUAUUAUGAUUCACAUAUAUAAAAGAAAACAUAAUUUGAACGUUUCAUAUAUAAAAGACAAGUGUAUACACAUUAUUCUGAUACAUCAUUGUCUGUAAUAAGAGGCUGCAUAAACACCUGAAUACAAUAAACUUGCAACUAAAAUGUGGAUAUGAAGAAACUCUAUUUCUUGAAACAGCUAAAGUUUAUCACGGAAUCUCAGACAUGGCGCAGGUCUCAUGUAUCUUAUAACAACACUUGGAGCAUUCAUACGCACGAUGUUCAUUAGCAUCUUCUUCAUCAUACCUGAUGAAUAUGUACUUGCAAUCAUCGCAGUAGUAGCCUGCAAGUGUACUCUCUCUGACACCAGUGAGGGGGCAGUCAUGGCAUUUGAAACCAACACUACCACCAAACUUGACCCUAGAAAUAGCAUCCAGAAAGGGAAUGCAGUUGAUGUGAAGCCACUGCUCGCAGUCGUUGCAGCUGUAGUUCCAGCACCUUUUAUCGAUAUCCUCUUCACAAACCUCACAAAUUUGUUGGGUAUCAUCAUUAUCAUCAUCGGUGGUUAGGUUGAGAGGGUGUGCAUCAAAUUUGUGGCUAAUGGUAGUGGGAAGCAAAGCGCAGCGAGCAUGUAGUUUUAGAUGGCGACAAUUGCUGCACUNNN